UUGGAAUAAUGUCACCAAUAGCAUAAGAAUUAAUGUCUACUAUGUUGCUGAAAUAAAUAAACUGGUAAAACUACUCUGCUGUCUAAAUCCCCAAGUUACAAAUUUACAGAGCUGCUGGCUUCCCCUUGAAGGAAUAGGAGUAGACCUGCUAAACUAUCACAUGAGAGAAGAGGCCCAAAAGCUUGCAUACUGCAGUCAAGCUGGCCUUUAAAGAGAUGGACCUAGAAGAUGCUGAGCCAGAUGUACUCAGUUACUUCUCCCAAAUUCAUCAAUUAGGAAUACAACAUGUUUAAGACCACAGGACAUCUGCAUAGGCUGUAAAUUUCGUUAAAUGAUGGAUGCAAAGAUGGAAGACAGAUGGAGAGAGGAAAAGACAGAAUCAGAUACUGGAUGAGUUAGUACUGCUGCCUGUGCUUCAGAGCUGUCUUGUUACCACAAGGCCGGCAAGCAUCAAUGUCCCCACAUCCCCCUCUGCCUCCCCCUGAAAUGUACCGAUUUAUAUGAAAAUUAAGAUUACAAAUUAAAGCCUGGCUAUCCUGGAGUUUUCCAGUUCAUCAGCCAUCCAAUAAAAAUGAUGUCAAGCCUGUAUGCAUAAUUCCCAGAAGAUUACUUUCGUCCUUACAGCUAAGCCCUGUCCCUGAUAUGAAAGAUCUCUAUCCACUUUUAUUGAAAUAAAGAACUAACAUCAUAAUCCC
RNAcentral lists this non-coding RNA (695 nucleotides) under Pongo abelii (Sumatran orangutan). Lineage: Eukaryota; Metazoa; Chordata; Mammalia; Primates; Hominidae. The record is from RNAcentral.